ACAGACAUCGCGAGCCGGUGAAAGGUGAAGGAAAUAAAACGAAAGACACAUAUUUGAGGAAUAAAACUUUUUUUUCUAUUUUUGGAGGAUUUUGUGUUCAGCCUCUUUCUACGCUGCUGGUUUCUGGCUCUGUCUAAGUUUUUAACAAGGAUUUGGCCAGGUUUUGGUUGUGAGGAUCGUUCUGAAGCUGGAGAAUGAAGAUGGCAGCCACCUGUAGGAAAAAUAGUGUUGGACAGGCGUCUGCUUCCUCAGGACCAACCUACACUCCAAGGAUUAAGACACUGAUUCUUUCACCUGAGUCAUGAACAUGCAGUUCCCUCCCUGUCCAGCAGUUGUCCUCAGUGUGUUGCCACCUUUCAACAUCAACUGUCCCCCCACACCCACCUGCACACCUGCUCCACAUUCCCUCAUCAGCUCCCCAGCAUACCUGGCCUUCAGUUAUUGUUUGCUGCCAUCUGUGCUGCCAAAGUGUUCCAGCCUUUUUGUCCUCCUGUUCCUGCUCGCUUUGAUAAUGACCCCUUACCUGCUUUGUUGCCCACCUGCUUUGCCACACUGGACCACCUGUUCUGACUGCCUGUUAACCAAACUCUGUUUUCACAGAGAGUGUCGCACUCACAGCUGAUCAGACGCCAGCGGAGCGGAGUGGAGCAGUCUCUUCAUGAUGACUGAAACAGUGUGGGAUUACAUCUCCUAAGAUGUUGUUCUUGUCUGCAAAUACCUGCAAAGCAAAGACAAGCCAGGCAUCUAGCAAAACCAGCCAUUUGUUCAUUUCUAGAAUUUGUUGACAGUGUGUUAUAAUGUCAAGUUUUCUUCA
This is a long non-coding RNA of Epinephelus lanceolatus (giant grouper), 814 nucleotides long. RefSeq lists it as uncharacterized. The record is from RefSeq and is a predicted model, not a curated record. Lineage: Eukaryota; Metazoa; Chordata; Actinopteri; Perciformes; Serranidae.